RNAcentral lists this transfer RNA (75 nucleotides) under Bacillota bacterium. RNAcentral describes it as "tRNA-Glu". It matches the Rfam family "tRNA". From Rfam's summary of the family: Transfer RNA (tRNA) molecules are approximately 80 nucleotides in length. Their secondary structure includes four short double-helical elements and three loops (D, anti-codon, and T loops). Lineage: Bacteria; Bacillati; Bacillota. The record is from RNAcentral.
GGCCCCAUGGUCAAGAGGUUAAGACACUGCCCUUUCAAGGCGGCGACACGGGUUCGAGUCCCGUUGGGGCUACCA